Molecule: non-coding RNA, 3337 nt
Organism: Musa acuminata subsp. malaccensis (wild Malaysian banana)
Lineage: Eukaryota; Viridiplantae; Streptophyta; Magnoliopsida; Zingiberales; Musaceae
Source: RefSeq, a predicted model, not a curated record
AUGGAAGUCACCCAGAUUCUUUUGAAUGCACAAUCUCAGUGGAUAGUACAGUUCGGAAACAUGCAGAAGAAAGCCUGAAACACUUUCAGGAAGAAAACAUCUCUGUGUUUUUGCUAUCUCUUUCUAAUGAGUUAUCAAACAACGAAAAGCCUGUUGAUAGCCGUAAAUUAGCUGGCUUGAUCCUUAAAAAUUCUCUGGAUGCGAAGGAGCAGCAUGGGAAAAAUGAACUUGUCCAAAGAUGGUUGUCCUUAGAUGUGGCUAUCAAAACCCAGAUCAGAGCUUGCUUGAUGCAGACCCUUCUUUCUCCUGUUACUGAUGCUAGAUCUACUGCAUCCCAAGUUAUUGCUAAGAUUGCAGGUAUUGAGCUACCUCAGAAACAGUGGCCUGAACUUACAGGCUUUCUAUUAUCAAACAUCCACCAGCUUCAGCCUCAUGUUAAGUAAGCCACAAUUGAAACUCUUGGCUAUAUAUGUGAGGAAGAUUCUCCGCAAGUCGUUGACCAAGAUCAAGUCAACAAGAUACUGCUGUUGUUCAGGGUAUGAAUGCAUCUGAGGGGAGUAUGGAUGUCAGACUGGCUGCUACCCGAGCCUUGUAUAAUGCUCUCGGUUUUGCACAGGCUAAUUUCUCAAAUGACAUGGAACGAGACUAUAUUACGAGAGUGGUUUGUGAAGCCACUUUAUCCACAGAGGUGAAGAUACGGCAGGCUGCAUUUGAGUGUUUGGUGGCCAUCUCAUCUACCUACUACAACAAGCUUGCAUCAUACAUGCAGGACAUAUUUAACAUCACAGCGAAAGCUGUGAGAGAAGAUGACGAGCCUGUUGCUCUUCAAGCUAUAGAGUUCUGGAACUCUAUUUGUGAUGAAGAAAUUGACAUCUUAGAUGAAUAUGGGGGUGAUUAUACUGCUGAUUCUGACAUCCCUUGUUAUUAUUUUGUCAAGCAAGCACUGCCUGCAUUGGUUCCUAUGCUGUUGGAGACACUUCUUAAGCAGGAAGAGGAUCAAGAUCAGGAUGAAGGAUCUUGGAACCUUGCGAUGGCUGGUGGAACAUGCUUGGGUUUGGUUGCACGCACAGUUGGAGAUGACAUAGUGCCUCUUGUGAUGCGUUUUAUUGAAGAGAUCAUAACAAAACCAGAUUGGAGGCAAUGAGAAGCAGCAACAUAUGCAUUUGGUUCGAUUCUAGAGGGUCCAUCACCUGAAAAACUCAUUCCUCUUGUGAAUGUUGCUCUAAACUUUAUGCUUACUGCCAUGAUGAAAGACCCAAAUAACCAUGUCAAGGACACUACCGCAUGGACACUUGGAAGAAUAUGAGUUUCUCCAUGGGUCAACUGUGCAAACACAUGUAAUUACUCAUGGGAAUUGCCAUCAGAUCCUGAUAGUCCUUCUACAGAGCAUGAAAGAUGUCCCUAAUGUUUCUCAAGGUUACGAGGAUGCCACUUCAGUAUCGCCGCUGUCCCCUUUCUUCCAAGACAUUGUCCAUGCUCUUCUCAAUGUUACACACAGGGAAGAUGCUGGAUAAUCUCUCUUGAGGACUGCAGCGUACGAGACUUUGAAUGAAGUUGUGAGAGCUUCAAGGGAUGAGACAGCCCCAGUAGUAAUGCAAUUGGUUCCGGUUAUCAUGAUGGAGUUCCACCAAAUGCUUGAGGCACAGAAGCUUUCAUCAGAUGAAAGAGAGAAGCAGAACGAAUUGCAGGGCCUUCUUUGUGGGUGCUUGCAGGUUAUCAUCCAGAAGUUGGGAGCAUCUGAGGCAACAAAGCAUGUUCUAAUGCAGUAUGCAGACCAGAUAAUGGAGCUCUUCCUCAGGGUUUUUGCUUGCCGAAAUGCUACAGUGCACGAAGAGGCUAUGCUCGCCAUUUGUGCUCUAGCAUAUGCUGUUGGUGGAAAUUUUAUAAAGUACAUGCAAAGCUUUUAUCCAUAUUUAGAAAUGGGUCUUCAAAAUUUUCAGGAAUAUCAGGUCUGUGCUGUCACUGUUGGCGUGGUUGGGGAUUUAUGCAGGGCAUUGGAGGACAAAAUAUUGCCCUACUGUGAUGGAAUCAUGACACAACUCCUUAAGGAUUUAUCUAGCAAUCAGUUGCACAGAUCUGUUAAGCCCCCAAUAUUUUCAUGUCUUGGUGAUAUUACACUAGCAAUAGGAGAGAACUUUGAGAAGUAUCUGAUAUAUGCCAUGCCUAUGCUCCAAAGUGCAGCAGAGCUGUCUGCAUACGCUGUUGCAACUGACGAUGAAAUGCUGGAAUAUACCAACGAACUCAGAAAUGGAAUUCUGGAAGCAUUCUCUGGGAUAUUACAGGGAUUUAAAAGCUGUCCGAAGACCCAGCUGCUGAUGCCUCAUGCACCUCACAUCCUUCAGUUCCUUGAUAGAUUGUACAAUGGAAAGGACAUUGAUGAAGACUGCAGUAGGUGUCCUGGGUCAUUUAGCUGAUACCCUGGGUGCUCACGCUGGGACUUUGAUCGAUCAGUCUGCUGCAAGCAAAGAAUUUUUGGGAGAAUGCUUGCUAUCAGACGAUCAAUUCAUAAGAGAGUCUGCUGAUCGGGCUAAGUUGGCCAUUAGUCGGUUGCGGUCUCUGGUUAAUGAUAAAUUUUGGCACUUUAUAUAAUUUUGCAUAUGCAUAGCGGUCAUGUCAAGUCUGGUCUGGGUUGCAUGAAUGUGUCGGUCGUCACCAUUUUGCGCAAGGUGUGUCUUUCUGGACGGUCACAUGGACCAUUUUUCAGAUCAUGCAUGAGCACCUUGUAUUGGGAUCUUCUCAUUCGCUUUGGAAAUGGAGCUUAAAUGCGGUCCCACUGCUGAUUCUUCAGGAGAGCUGAAAUUCAUUUUUUGGAAAAUCUGUAAGGAGCUAUACACCGUAUGUCUGCAAAGACUGAGGUGCCUUUUUUUUGCUCAACUGUAUGGUCCUUGUCCUUCGCAUGUCGUCCUUCUGCAACAGAAGCUAAAUCAUGGUGAAUGCCUGGAUCGAAAGACACAAAAGCAGCAGUGGUUGUGGUCGAAGAGCAUACUGUGUUUUGCAUCACAACCAAGUACAUAAUACUCUCCUCAACCCCGCAACUAUGCCUUUUUGCUGUUUGGUUCUUGUUCUUUUUCCCAGGGGAUGGGAUGUUGUCUUGGUUCUUGCAUAUUUGUUUCUGGACUGUCUGCAUUUCUUGCUCCUCCACUUAAGCAAAUUGUAGAAGUCAUAGUACGUGGCUCUUAGUGUAUGCAUUAUACUAUCUGUUGUGUCAGUAAUUACAUCAAUUACAAGGUUGUCUUGGCAUUCAUCCUCACUGCCAUGGAAGGUAGCUGUUGCAGUGGUCACUCCGUCCGCAUCUUGUACUUCCUUUUUAAUGGUCCUACCGAAAUUGCCUGUUUAA